This 305-nucleotide ribosomal RNA is filed under the name uncultured bacterium. Its description in RNAcentral is "bacterial SSU rRNA". It matches the Rfam family "Bacterial small subunit ribosomal RNA", at positions 337 to 659 of the family's 1533-position model. The record is from RNAcentral.
UCCUACGGGGGGCAGCAGUGGGGGAUAUUGCACAAUGGGGGGAACCCUGAUGCAGCGACGCCGCGUGGGUGAAGAAGCGCCUCGGCGCGUAAAGCCCUGUCAGCAGGGAAGAUAAUGACGGUAGCAGAGGAGGAAGCUCCGGCUAACUACGUGCCAGCAGCCGCGGUAAUACGUAGGGAGCGAGCGUUGUCCGGAUUUACUGGGUGUAAAGGGUGCGUAGGCGGCCCUGCAAGUCAGAAGUGAAAUCCAUGGGCUUAACCCGUGAACUGCUUUUGAAACUGCAGGACUUGAGUGGAGUAGAGGUA